Molecule: ribosomal RNA, 1372 nt
Filed under: uncultured bacterium
Lineage: Bacteria
Description: bacterial SSU rRNA
Rfam family: Bacterial small subunit ribosomal RNA
Source: RNAcentral
GAUGAACGCUGGCGGCGUGCCUAAUACAUGCAAGUCGAGCGAACGGACGAGAAGCUUGCUUCUCUGAUGUUAGCGGCGGACGGGUGAGUAACACGUGGAUAACCUACCUAUAAGACUGGGAUAACUUCGGGAAACCGGAGCUAAUACCGGAUAAUAUUUUGAACCGCAUGGUUCAAAAGUGAAAGACGGUCUUGCUGUCACUUAUAGAUGGAUCCGCGCUGCAUUAGCUAGUUGGUAAGGUAACGGCUUACCAAGGCAACGAUGCAUAGCCGACCUGAGAGGGUGAUCGGCCACACUGGAACUGAGACACGGUCCAGACUCCUACGGGAGGCAGCAGUAGGGAAUCUUCCGCAAUGGGCGAAAGCCUGACGGAGCAACGCCGCGUGAGUGAUGAAGGUCUUCGGAUCGUAAAACUCUGUUAUUAGGGAAGAACAUAUGUGUAAGUAACUGUGCACAUCUUGACGGUACCUAAUCAGAAAGCCACGGCUAACUACGUGCCAGCAGCCGCGGUAAUACGUAGGUGGCAAGCGUUAUCCGGAAUUAUUGGGCGUAAAGCGCGCGUAGGCGGUUUUUUAAGUCUGAUGUGAAAGCCCACGGCUCAACCGUGGAGGGUCAUUGGAAACUGGAAAACUUGAGUGCAGAAGAGGAAAGUGGAAUUCCAUGUGUAGCGGUGAAAUGCGCAGAGAUAUGGAGGAACACCAGUGGCGAAGGCGACUUUCUGGUCUGCAACUGACGCUGAUGUGCGAAAGCGUGGGGAUCAAACAGGAUUAGAUACCCUGGUAGUCCACGCCGUAAACGAUGAGUGCUAAGUGUUAGGGGGUUUCCGCCCCUUAGUGCUGCAGCUAACGCAUUAAGCACUCCGCCUGGGGAGUACGACCGCAAGGUUGAAACUCAAAGGAAUUGACGGGGACCCGCACAAGCGGUGGAGCAUGUGGUUUAAUUCGAAGCAACGCGAAGAACCUUACCAAAUCUUGACAUCCUUUGACAACUCUAGAGAUAGAGCCUUCCCCUUCGGGGGACAAAGUGACAGGUGGUGCAUGGUUGUCGUCAGCUCGUGUCGUGAGAUGUUGGGUUAAGUCCCGCAACGAGCGCAACCCUUAAGCUUAGUUGCCAUCAUUAAGUUGGGCACUCUAAGUUGACUGCCGGUGACAAACCGGAGGAAGGUGGGGAUGACGUCAAAUCACCAUGCCCCUUAUGAUUUGGGCUACACACGUGCUACAAUGGACAAUACAAAGGGCAGCGAAACCGCGAGGUCAAGCAAAUCCCAUAAAGUUGUUCUCAGUUCGGAUUGUAGUCUGCAACUCGACUACAUGAAGCUGGAAUCGCUAGUAAUCGUAGAUCAGCAUGCUACGGUGAAUACGUUCCCGGGUCU